GAUACAUGGGCAGGGGCUGCUGUUGGGAAGGGAGGAGGCGGCGAUAAGAGUUGGGAUCCAGUUGUGGAGCUGGAUUGAUAAAUGAAGAUGCUCAUUAAAUCUGUGCUGGAUGGUGACCGCUGUAAUGUCAUACAGUGUGGUGCUCCCAAGGGCUUCGUUUAGCUAGUCUUCUAGAGACUGUUGGUCUGAGAGACCAUAGAGGACCGGAAGUAUCAAAUGAUGUCUCUUCCUGCCAUUGGGGAUGCUUGUGAUCUGGAGAAGAUCCUGCUGGAUCAAGAAGUUUUCCUGCUGGAUCAAGUUGGAUCAGCUCGUGCUAAAUGUACAUGAAGAGUGCAGUAAUUGUCUGGCCGGCCAAAAUGAAGUGUAAUGGGACGAGCAUUUUGAUAGUGUGGGUUCACGGAUGAUAGAAGGGAUAGCACAGAGCCUGGGGGUCUGGAAGAGCAACGGUCUAUUAUCUCAGGGAGGAAGGGGGCUGAAAUAUGCUUAGUGCAAGUGGUACUCUGUGGAUGAGUAGCGAAAGUAGCUAUGUGUUGUUUGUGGCUGGGAAACAGAAGUCUGUUAUUGCUUUUCUGAACAGCCAUCUGUUUGUUCCAUUGAUUUCUCAUCUGAACAGAAACAAUGCUUUGAGGCACUGGAUGUUGACUGAGGGUUUGGCACUAGGGGGAAAUUGGUGGUUGCCAAAGACCCAGACUCUGCCUGCUUGAACCUGCAAGUCCUGAAUGUAAAACAUUCAGGGAAGCCAAAACUCUCUUGGGUCACAGAAAGGGCUUUGAAUAUCACCCUGUCCCUGGCCUGGCUGCAGUGCUGUGUGCUAUUCUCUUCCUCCACAAUGGGGGAUAUUAAAGAACUACUGAAACGGCAAACUGGAAGAGUUAUGUGGAAAUGAUAUAACAAGUGUGAAGAUAUCCUCCUUAGGAGAUCACAUCCUGGAAGUACUCAGCACUUAGAUCUCGCCUUCUAUUUGUGUUUCCUGGAAAUUUUGUUAAGCUGCUAGAAAUGAGGUUUCGUGCUUUUAAGAUUUCCUGUAAUUGUCUCCUGAAAGAAUGGCUGUGAAGGGAUCCUCUCAAAUGGAGGUUGCUCAGCGCACUUGCAAAAACAAUGCAAACCUUAUGAUGGGAGUCUUACUGUGAUGUGUUCAGGCUAAAAGCUUAUUUAAAGACUUUCUACUCAGUGCUGAAGGUUGCGUGGAUGGCUCUGGGAGAGAUGCAGAUGAAGAGCGAUGGUGUACAUGACCUCGCUAUUGCAGACUCUCGGGCUCAUGUCUGCUUUGUUACUUGCCUGACAAAGGAAGCAGCUGUGCUGCCUAGUCUGCUGUGUUGAUUGGCCUUGUUCUGUGCCAGAGGUGGAGAAGGAGCUGUUGUCCUUCAGAAAGGAGUGUCAGUGUGGGAACCUGUUGGGUUUGAAAGUCAUUGGAGACUGAUGAUGGGAUAUGGCUUCCUGCACGCUGCCUCCAUUACCUAGAGCCUUCUGGAGAGCAGUGGGGAAAAACAUGCAGCCCAUCUGACGGUGCUGGUCUCCAGACCAUCAGCAAGAGUUACAACUGAGCCAAGCAAAUGUCUCAUUGCUUCCUCCCACAGCGUGGUGUGCGUGAUGACAGGCUUUGAAGAUGCUGUUUGAUCCUGCACGUGCUUGAAGGGUGGCUGAAAUUUCCACUUGGUGUUCUCCUGUUGACAAAGACUGGGUUUGUGAUUGAUUAACUAUUCACAGCCGUACCGUGCUGUCCCUGGAUGCUGCUUGACUGGAGCAAAGGUUUGUGCUGCUUGGUUUCAGACAGGCCUGGCUUCUCAGCUGUGCUUUUGGUGGUCCCUUGCUCCUCCACCAGUGUGUGCGGUACGUCACUAUCAAGCAAAACUCUUAUUCUUUGCUGUCAACCAAUGUGUAAACAGUCAGCUCCUCAGUCGGGGAGUUUAAAUACGGUCUUGUGUUGCUUAUGCACCUGUGGAAUAGAGCUGUGGAUAUUGCUGAGGUCUGAGCCAUUUACAGGUGUCUGAGGCUUGGGCAGAGCCAGUGUUUCUGGAGUGGCUGCUUUGGUCCAUGAAUGUAGAAGCAGUUGUGUAGAAAAUUCAGCUGGAAGUGGUAUCGAACUCAUAUUGCUGUGCCGAGUCUGAAAGUUUCUGCGGUUGGGUACGGAUGCUGAAGUUGGAAAGAAAUCCCUUUAGAUGUGAAAGCUGCCAUGGUUGGGAAACAAAACCAGCCAUGAAAGGGAAACAAAAUGAAGAAUUUAAAAGAAAACUAAGAAUUUGUCAAUAUUGUGUCUCAAGGAGGGAGAGGACUGAGCUUAUAUUGUUCUUAAAUGUUUUUUGUCUACAGUGAAUGCUGAAAUAGAAACCGGAGCUUGCUCCUGGCAUGUGAUGAGGAGCUGAACUCUAAAAUAUGUUUUCUCUGUAAUAGCUGUGGGAAUUAAGUGUGCAGGUCAUCUUGAUGGAUGAAAAUGUGAAUGUAUAAAGUGCUGCAAACUGUCACCCAGCAAAUUCUGCUGCUUCAAAAUUCUGAUUUAAGCUAAUGUUGUAAUAUCUUCAAUUUAUAAUUCAUUUAUGCAUUUAGGUGCAUCCAAGUUCCUCCUUCUGACUCAUACUCUCUUAUUUUGACAGUAAAAAGAAUUUCAACGUAGAUAUCAGUGACCAAACUUCCAACUCGAUUAAAUUCUGUUAAAUUAAGGAGUUUAAUUUCAAUUAAUAAAACUUCUGUGGAGAGAUCCAGACCUCUGCAGGGUUUCCCAUCCCUGUAUCUCCUGCUUGCACUGGUGCAUCAGAGCAUGGUGACAUAGAUAACGAGAGUCAGUGUAAAUACCUGUGGUGACAAGCACAGUGAAGUGGGCUCUGUUUGAAGCACAGCUGGGCCUUGGCUGCUUUGUUAGCCUAAAACCUCUGCUGCUGAAGGACUGUGUUUCUCUCUGGGCAGAGCUUUGGGAAUGAUUUGUUUGUGAGACAGUUGUGACAGUGAGACUUUACCAGUGUCCCGGGAAUUCCAACAAAAUGGCUGCGUUCCCCGUGCUGUUCCUGUCAGACACCAACAAGCUCACUGCCCUGCGCUUCAGGCACUCUUCCUUGGCUUCAACACAUACCGUUUGAUCGGUGGCUGUUGUAAAUGAGAUCUGCUGUUUCAGCUUUCAGCAAGCCACGUUUGGAGGACAGCGGAGCCUUUGAGCGUGUUUGCUUUUCCCUUGCUCGCUGUCUGGUUCUGGCUGCUUUUCUUGUUAACAUUUUUCUCUGGAAAGAGCAAAUACCCUUUGUGAAAGCACACUUCCCCUGCUGCAGCUCCGAGCCUAGGCAAUAAUCCUGUCUGGGCAGCAUUGGAGCCUGGACAUAACUAAUCUUUGUGGUGUAGGAGUCGAAAACUGUAAUCCUGCAUGCCGAAUGAGAAAUCCAUCCAGUUUCAGAACUGAAGGGAUAAUGCUACUGGUGCUGUGGGAUCUAGUGGUGGUUAAAUACGCUUGAUUUUUGCUGGGUUGGGUAGAGGGAGUGUCCAGAGCGAGUGGUGCAGGCUUGGACAGCUGGGUUGGUGGAGGGCUGUAGCAGAACUGAGAACUACAGAGAGAGGGGAAAAUAUCAUAGCAGCGAACAAGUCCAGCUGGUCCUGCAGCAGCCCUGUCCCUGCUUUUGACACAAGGAAAUAUGUAAAUUUGCCUGAAAGUGGGAUUGCCUACUUAGGAGGUGGCUGCAGCACUGCUAUCCUGCCUGCCCUGUGUGUGCUGGAGGUCAGGCUGCUCUCUUGCUGUUCCGUAAUGGCCAGUUGCAUGUGGCUCUGGGCCAAGCAUCUCUUUGUGCUAUCACAGUUAGGGGCUUGGGUCCGUAUUACCUGUGAGUCUUGUUCAAAGACAGACUGGGGAUGCGUUUUCAUGAUGCCAAGUCUUUGGCAAUACCAGGUUCUGCUUUUUCUGCCCUGUACUGUGUAGUAGAUUUGCCGUCCCAGAUGUUUAUGGGGCUCCAGGCUGGAUCAGGGAUCUGGUCUGAUGUUUCUAAAGCUGCUUUUGUUCACAUGGGCUUUUUAAGCUGGAAAAACUUCUUAAUUUGGCCUUGAACAAGCUGUGCUGGCAUUAGUAAGAGCAAGAACUGACUACAGAGGGAGAGGAUUGUCACUUUUUACAGCACAAACCACAAGACUGGUUCUUUGUGCUUCAUUCUGACCUUAGGGUUUUAUUUCAGUGAAGGUUUUGUUGGUGUCACUGCUGAAAGAUGCUGUCCCGUUUUCCCCUCCUGCCCUGUCCCUUGUGCCAGUGCAGCUGUUUGCGCGUUAGGGGAACUGAUUCAGGGGAAAAAGUUAAAGAGAGAAGACAACCUGUUUCCAAGCCAGUGACGUGUAGCGUUGCAGCCCAAGGUGGCUGUACCAGCACCGGGGGGCUGAGGGUAAGGGCGGAGUGGGAUCACUGUUUUGGGUGCCAAUGUUGGCUUUUGGCAGCUUCAGAUUGUAGCUGUAGCUCGCGGGCUCAGAAAAUCACUUUACUAGUUUCUGGCCUACUUUUCAACAGCUUCAGACUGUCCGUUAAAAAUUUGCCCUAAGGCAAACUUCCGUUUUGGUGUCAAAUGGCAAAGUACAUGGAGCUGCUCUCCGGGUGCUUGCUGUUGCCUCUGCUGUGUGUAAAUGGUCCUAAAACUGAGCCCAGAGAACUAAAGCAUGGUUCGAUGUGUAACAGCAGCCAUAUGCUUUGUUCUGUUUCUCAGCUUGUGUAACUGAACCCUUGGCUGAUGAUAACUGGAUCUGUUCAGUUGGAAGAGAAACUUGUACACAAGUGGAAAUCAACAUUUACUUUUGGUCUUAUUCUGACCUUUCUAUGCUUUCUUUCUUUGUGUAGCUGAAAAGUUGCACAAUGUUUUCUGGAUCUCUGGGUGCUUCAGGAACAGCUGGGGACUUCGGAGGACAUGGUUGUCUUACACUGGCAGACACUUACCUUCUGGGAGAGUGUUCAGCUGAAGUGUUUUGGUGUUGGGGCUGAGGCAAACAAGGAAUAUUGUUCUGCAAGUAGUGUGGAGGUGGUGAUCUAAGUGAAUGGGGUAGCCCUUCCUGUGUUUUACAGUCAUCCCGGGUUUGCAUUGUACGAGCACGCUGGACAUGGGGAUGUUGGCGCUUCAGCUGCUGUGGUAGCAGUAACUGCCCUGUUCCCAAGGUCUUCAACAGUCUUCUCAAUUUAUUUAGCCAUUUCACUUUACAGAGGUGGUUUUAGUUUUUCUGUUUAUUGAGUCAUACUAUUUUCCAGUGUAUGUUAGUGAACGUAUAUUGUCUGCAUAAAUGAUGUUACUGGGCAGACUGGUUUCCCCAUUCACUUGUUCAUAACCCCUACCUGGUGUUCUCAUAGCAAUGCACCAGCUUGGUCAAGCAAUUACUCAUUUAUUGUUUUUCUUUUCUUU
Molecule: long non-coding RNA, 5345 nt
Organism: Cuculus canorus (common cuckoo)
Lineage: Eukaryota; Metazoa; Chordata; Aves; Cuculiformes; Cuculidae
Exons: 3
Source: RefSeq, a predicted model, not a curated record